Molecule: ribosomal RNA, 253 nt
Filed under: uncultured bacterium
Lineage: Bacteria
Description: partial 16S ribosomal RNA
Rfam family: Bacterial small subunit ribosomal RNA
Source: RNAcentral
UACAGAGGUCCCAAGCGUUGUUCGGAAUUACUGGGCGUAAAGGGCGCGUAGGCGGCCUGUUAAGUCGAACGUGAAAUCCCCGGGCUCAACCCGGGAACUGCGUCCGAUACUGGCAGGCUUGAAUCCGGGAGAGGGAUGCGGAAUUCCAGGUGUAGCGGUGAAAUGCGUAGAUAUCUGGAGGAACACCGGUGGCGAAGGCGGCAUCCUGGACCGGCAUUGACGCUGAGGCGCGAAAGCGUGGGGAGCAAACAGG